GAUGAACGCUGGCGGCGUGCCUAAUACAUGCGAGUCGAGCGAACGGACGAGAAGCUUGCUUCUCUGAUGUUAGCGGCGGACGGGUGAGUAACACGUGGAUAACCUACCUAUAAGACUGGGAUAACUUCGGGAAACCGGAGCUAAUACCGGAUGAUAUUUUGAACCGCAUGGUUCAAAAGUGAAAGACGGUCUUGCUGUCACUUAUAGAUGGAUCCGCGCUGCAUUAGCUAGUUGGUAAGGUAACGGCUUACCAAGGCAACGAUGCAUAGCCGACCUGAGAGGGUGAUCGGCCACACUGGAACUGAGACACGGUCCAGACUCCUACGGGAGGCAGCAGUAGGGAAUCUUCCGCAAUGGGCGAAAGCCUGACGGAGCAACGCCGCGUGAGCGAUGAAGGUCUUCGGAUCGUAAAACUCUGUUAUUAGGGAAGAACAUAUGUGUAAGUAACUGUGCACAUCUUGACGGUACCUAAUCAGAAAGCCACGGCUAACUACGUG
Molecule: ribosomal RNA, 497 nt
Filed under: uncultured bacterium
Lineage: Bacteria
Description: partial 16S ribosomal RNA
Rfam family: Bacterial small subunit ribosomal RNA
Source: RNAcentral